CUUAGAGGUCACCUUGUCUGGAUACUUCCUUUUACUGCUAGGCAAUAUGGCUUUAUAGUCAGGAUCCUGGACCUCAAGUUUCUGGGCCUCAGUCUCCUUAUCCCUAAAAUAAAGAUAAUAGUGAUACUGACAUAACAGAGGUGUUGUGAAGAUUGAAUGAGAUGAUGCAAGGGAAGCUCUUAGAAGAGCACUGGGCACACAGUAAACAGCCAAUAAAUAUUAGCUGUAAUCAUUGGAGGCCCAGGGGAGAAGGGACUUGCUCAAGAUCACACAGCAACUCAGAGGCAGAGCUGGGGUUAGACCAAGGACGCCUGCCUCCCAGCCUGGGCCCUUUCCCAUUCCACUCUUCCCUCUGUCUUCCUCAGAAAAAGAAAAUAGUCCCAGAGGGAACCAGGAUACUUUUCUCACUGAAUCAUUUAGGAUGCAAGGAAGAGGUCACCUGCUUUAGAGUGGCUUAAACUUUUUAUUUUUUAAUGAGGCCAGAAGAAGUUGGAAUGAGGAUUGGUCUGCUGAUUCAACAAUGUCUUUGAUGACCCAGGCAUUUCCCAUUCUGAGCCUCGAGGGUGACUACCCCUGUGAUUGCAAGAUGACUGAGUGCCAUCAGGAACCAUGUCCUCCCAAGCAGGGAGAAAGGGCAUGGUAGCAAAAAGGGUAUUCUCCCUUCACAUCAUUCUCUUAUCCAGGAGAGAAGCUUUCCCAGCAGACUAUCCCCAAACAUGUCAUUGACUAAGACGAGGUCACAUGUCUACUCUUGGACCACUUUCUGGCAAAGGGGAAGGCAUUUCCAUUGCUGCCUUGGAUCAUCCCUGUGGCUGAGCACCUUGCUACCAGAAUGAAGAAGAGAGCAUUUGCCAUGGGAAGGCAACCAAUACAACCUGCCAUACUCAUCUUCUGUUUUCUCUCUGGAUUGCCCUCCUACCUCCUCUCCAUCUCCGCCAGGAAGUCUUCCCUGGUUGCCAGGGCCUUGUCCGGCACACCCUCUUCUAAUGUAAUUGAACAUUGUUUAAUUCAAGUUACAUUUCACUUUGCCAAAGAUUUCUCACCUUAUCAUGUCCAGAUCUUAUCUUCUCAACCAGGCUGUGAUAGGUCAUUGCAAGAGUUAUAGCAGCGACUAAUGAAUAAGUACCUACUGUGUGUCAGGCACUGGUCUGAGUGCUUGUUGUAGCCAGCUUCCAAAUGGCUCCCAAUGAUCCAUACCCCCUGGUAUUCAUGCCUUUUUGUAUUCCCCUCCCACAUUAUACCAGGGUUUGUCUACAUGACCAAGAGAAUAUGGCAAAAGUUACGGUAUGUUUCUUCCAAUAUUAGAUCAUAAAAGGCACAUGGAAUCAAAGCUUUUGGUCAACUGCCAACAAGGUACAGAGGCCCAACAGCAAUCAUCGAAUGAACUUGGAAGUGGAUCCUCUCACCCCAGUUGAGCCUUCUGAUGACUGCAGCCCUGGCUGAUGCUUGACUACAACUUCAUCAGAAAUCCUCAUGAAGAUCCAGCACCUUCCAGUUAGCCCAUCUAUGAGAAAACCAAUGCUCCGAUGAGUGCAGUGACUUCCCAUGCCUGUGGAGAGUCUAUGCCUUUGAUUGGAUCCCCAGAGGUGGUUUUCACUUGCCCCCCAUUGCCUAUACCAUGUUGCCUUCCUGGAGUUGGUGGCCUUUGAGCUGGGCCUGGAAGAUUGGGUAGGACUUUAUGAAGUGGGGAUGGAGAGACAAGCUGUGCGAUGGGGAUGAAGAAGAUAACCCAGGUCAGAGGGAACAGCAUAAGCAAAGGUAUGUGAAGGGGAAAGAAUUCAACACCUCCAGGCAAUGGUGAGGAUGUCGCUGAGUUCUCUUUCACUUAUCUGCAUGUCAGUCAUGACCCCUGGAUGCCAGCUCCUGAUGGGUCAUCUGCCUACCCUAGAACUUCCCAGCAUCUAGCAUCCCAGACCUUCCCAGAGUCUACAAGAAAAGAAACCUAGGCAUCAGGAUGUCAGUUCUGGUCUGAGUCCUGUCCUCUGCUGACUUUACACCAGCACAAUCUAGCAGGGAGACUUAAUGUCUUCUCCUCCCAGCUUCCUGGUACAGUGUAAGAAAGUAAGCUUGCAGAUGCAAAUGCUUGUGGCUCUUCAUUGACCAGAGGCUAUAUUAGGGGAGAGGACUUCCCUGGGACCCCCACAGGGCCUGGAAAACCCCUCUGGCCCUGACUUGCUCCACCCCUUGGCUCUUGACCCAUUUCUCUCUUGGGUAACUCCUGAGUCUCCUCACCAUGUCCAGUUUGGAAGACUUUAGGCACAAGGACCUCGUCUUUUCCUUCAGAUCUUGGCUCAACCAAGAGGCGGACUCACCGUGAUGUGAAUGCAGCUUGAGCAUCCAGGACUCUCCCCAGAUCCAGGGAGGGCCUCAGCGAUGUGUUCACGUUGUCAUAUUUUUAUAAAAUUUGCAAAGGUAAGAUACUUUAACCACAAUCAAAAUUACUAUUUUCUUCCCACUCCAACUUCCCUUGUGUUUCAAUUUUCCUUUAUGUGGGAUAAUUGGAGUGGCCAUGGGCACUUCUGGGAUCUGACCAAGGGGAAGCUGAGUGGGGGACUGAUUUGAGUUGGGUUCACUGGGAUAUGUUUAUGUGGUUUUCUGAAACAGAGGAUAUAUUAAUAUUUAUGUGGUUCUCUGUGUAUAGAUAAAUCAUUGCUAGUAAUCUCUGUGUAGAGAAUAGCUUCUAGGAAUUCUACCCACUGCCCAGCUCACUUGGCAUGGUGAUAUUAAGUUGCCAUAUGCAGAGGUCAUAUCGUGAUAUGAAUGUGUGUCAUGGCACCCAGCCCAGGAAGUAUAUGGGCAGUAGACAAGAAACAGGAGAAACCAGGUUUGAAAUGUACAGAGCCAGAAGCUAGUCUGUGGAAAAUUCUUCUAAUCAUCAGGGGGAGAAAAUGUGUCUCAGAGGUUAAGCAGGGCAGUUAAUAAAAGUAUUACGCAUUUUGGGGGGAUUGUGUGAUGUAUCUGUUUUGAUUUCUUUUCUCAUUAUAGGUAAAUAUAGGUACCUUGUACCUAAUUUUAUAUUCAUAAUUUUGUAUAUUUUUCUUAAAGAGGGCUCCUCAAAUUAUAAAACCUUCAGUUCCCACAAGGUCUACACAUCCAACCUUGGCUCCAUCAUUUAUUUUCUGUGUGAUCUUGGGGAAGUCACUUGUGCUUUCUGAGCCAGUUUCCUCUUCUAUAAAAUGUGAA
RNAcentral lists this long non-coding RNA (3183 nucleotides) under Homo sapiens (human). Its description in RNAcentral is "HSALNT0178294". Lineage: Eukaryota; Metazoa; Chordata; Mammalia; Primates; Hominidae. The record is from RNAcentral.